RNAcentral lists this small nucleolar RNA (106 nucleotides) under Phaseolus vulgaris (common bean). Its description in RNAcentral is "Plant small nucleolar RNA R71". It matches the Rfam family "Plant small nucleolar RNA R71". From Rfam's summary of the family: R71 is a member of the C/D box family of snoRNAs containing the C (UGAUGA) and D (CUGA) box motifs. Multiple nearly identical copies of this snoRNA have been identified in Arabidopsis, and it is thought to function as a 2'-O-ribose methylation guide for 18S ribosomal RNA. The record is from Rfam by way of RNAcentral. Lineage: Eukaryota; Viridiplantae; Streptophyta; Magnoliopsida; Fabales; Fabaceae.
AACCCAUAAUUUGGGCAUUUUCUAACAACACUUAGAAUCUCUCCCAUGUUUCACAGAAAGCUUCAUCUCACCCUUGUCUGAACAUAGAAAUAUCAAACUUAACUUU